CUAGCCGUAAACGAUGGAUACUAGGUGUGGGGGAAGCAGUUCCUCCGUGCCGGAGUUAACGCGAUAAGUAUCCCGCCUGGGAACUACGGCCGCAAGGCUGAAACUCAAAGGAAUUGACGGGGGCCCGCACAAGCGGUGGAGCACGUGGUUUAAUUCGAUGCAAACCGAAGAACCUUACCUGGGUUUGACAUACAAGUGGUAGAGAAGCGAAAGUGGAUCGACUUUAGUAGCAAUACUAGAGAGCUUGAACAGGUGC
This 256-nucleotide ribosomal RNA is filed under the name uncultured bacterium. RNAcentral describes it as "partial 16S ribosomal RNA". It matches the Rfam family "Bacterial small subunit ribosomal RNA", at positions 796 to 1041 of the family's 1533-position model. The record is from RNAcentral.